UUAGGAAAAGUUGUCUCCAAGGUGAGAACUAAUAGUCUGGGUUAGUGAGGCUAACUGCCUUUGCAGGCCAGAUCAGUCCCUUUCGUUUUCUAUAUCACUUUUGCGAUUUUCUUACAUGAUUUUGUUUUCUAUAUCACAUAAGCAUCUGGGAGGUUGGUUCUCGAGAAAGGAUGGUACAUAAACCCUUCAAGGUUUGGGAUUUAUCUGCUUGCUCAAUGCCUUUCUAGGUAAAGUUCCUUUUCCAAUUUUGUGUUCAUUGAUGCAUGUAAGUGAUGAAUUUUCAAUGGUUGUGAUUCAAGCAAACAAUUUGUUAGAUCAGCCAGGUUGAAUCAGGACCGUUGAGUUCGAUGAAUUCAGGUCCGUACGGAACGUUCAUCGGCGUAUAUGAGGGACAUGGUGGACCGGAGACGUCAAGAUUCGUUAACGAGAAUCUGUUUGCUAAUCUCAAGAGAUUUGCGUCUGAGGAUCAAGAUAUGUCUGCGAAUGUUAUCAAGAUAUGAGUUUCUUUCGGUUGUAAGAGAACAAUGGCGGAUAUGCCCGCAAAUAGCGUCUGUGGGGACGUGCUGUUUGGUAGGUGUUAUUUGUAAAGGGUUGAUUUACAUUGCGAAUGCUGGAGAUUUGAGAGUGGUGUUAGGGAGAGCUGAUCGAGAAUGCAGGCGGUGAACGGUUAAAAAGCCAGAAGUCGAAGGUUACCGAAAUUCAAAAUGUAAGUACAAUACAUUACUCGAAAGGUUGAUGUUGUUCAAGGUCAGCAACAGUUUAUAUUUACAUAAUUCUUUAUGUCAGUUCAGUUUACGAUCUGUUUAUCAUAUUUUCAGGUACUGAUUUGGCAAAUUUGGUAAAUGUGGCGGCUCUCAAGGUGGCAAUGGACGGUGCAAAACCGGUAAACAUGCCUGAUUUAGGAUUAUAGCGACUCAUAGCGAGAAUAGUGACAAUUAAUUUCUUUUGAUAUAAAUAGCAAGUAAAUAUAGCUAUAAAAUGGCUGGAUUAUAGGUUUUUGUUAAAUAUAUAUGUAAAAUGGCAUAUAUACCAGGGUAUUUUGAUAUAAUAUACAUAUAAAAAUAUUUAAAAAAUUUUCAUACGUAUCGCUGUUUAUAAAAUUUCCUCCCACUAUUUAUCGCUAUUCGCUAUGUGGCUUAUAGGUACCUUAUUGCUAUUUGUCGCUAUUCGCAAUUAACAACUAUGGGUGCCCUCGGAUGUUGGUGGAGUUGCUAGAGCACGAGCUUUUGCUAAAAAGUUAUCUGAUGCGCCAUUGACCAUUGUUGAUAAGCGGCGUCAUGGGCACAAUGUAGCUGAAGUAACGAAUUUGAACCGUGAUGUGAAAGGUAAAGUAGCAGUUAUGGUGGAUGACAUGAUCGAUACUGCUGGUACUAUUGCCAAAGGAGCAGACCUGUUGCAUCAUGAAGGGGAAGGGGCAUGGAAGUUUAUGCAUACAGCACGCAUGUUGUUUUCAGUCCACUAGCAAUUGAUCGGUUGUCAAGUGGUCUAUUUCAAGAGGUGAUUACCACGAAUACCAUUCUGGUGUCUGAAAAGAACUAUUUACCACCGCUGAUUGUCUUAUUGGUAGCAAACCUACUUGGCGAGAGCAUCUGGCAUGUGCAUGAUGAUUACCCUAUCUUGUUAUGAAUAUGAAUGAAGAGGGUAAUCAAGCUUGCCCUCAAUGCAAAACCAGAUACAAACAAAUCAAAGGGAAUCCAAGAGUGAAUGGUGAUGAAGAAGAGGAUGAAUUUGAUGAUUUGGAUAAUGAAUUUAAUCUCUGAAACAAUGAUAGGAGAGACCCUCAUCAUAGUUUUUCUGAACUUCCUUCGCGCCAGAAUUUUGGGCCUGUUGCAUCCAAUAUUACUGGUUUUGCCACUGCAUUGGUGGUCAGCGCAAACGAUCUUAGCCACAAGAUCCCUCUUCUUACUUAUGGUCAAGAGCUAAACUCAACUGCCAUUUAUGUACUUAGCCCUGUGGACAUUAUACCCGAGCAUUGUUUGGAGUACUUGGUCUAUUGGAUGAUGUCAUGAUAGUCCUUAUCUUUUUCCUACAUGUUGGCACCCUGUAUCGGGCUAUUCUUGUGCGCCGUUAUGGAGGAUCUUCAACCUCACGAUUUGAAGCCUUAUAAUGAUGUUGGUUGUUCCUGUUUAACAUAUGCAAUUAUGCUUCAUCUGAUAUUGAUACAAUAUAGAGAUUGUGAUCUUUGUAUAAUGAUGGGGAUGAUUGUUUCAGUUGCAAGACGUACAAGUUUUCAUUUUUAUUA
Helianthus annuus (common sunflower) is the source of this 2242-nucleotide long non-coding RNA. RefSeq lists it as uncharacterized. The transcript is spliced from 9 exons. Lineage: Eukaryota; Viridiplantae; Streptophyta; Magnoliopsida; Asterales; Asteraceae. The record is from RefSeq and is a predicted model, not a curated record.